CCCUUAGAUGUUCUGGACCGCACGCGCGCUACACUGACGGAUUCAACGAGCUUACAACCUUGGCCGAAAGGUCUGGGUAAUCUCCAAAAUCCGUCGUGAUGGGGAUAGAUUAUUGCAAUUAUUAAUCUUCAACGAGGAAUGCCUAGUAAGCGCAAGUCAUCAGCUUGCGUUGAUUACGUCCCUGCCCUUUGUACACACCGCCCGUCGCUCCUACCGAUUGAAUGGUCCGGUGAAGCGUUUGGACUAUGGUUUUCUGAUGGUCCGCCGUUGGAUUACCGUGGGAAGUUCGUUAAACCUUAUCAUUUAGAGGAAGGAGAAGUCGUAACA
RNAcentral lists this ribosomal RNA (327 nucleotides) under uncultured eukaryote. RNAcentral describes it as "partial 18S ribosomal RNA". It matches the Rfam family "Eukaryotic small subunit ribosomal RNA", at positions 1470 to 1796 of the family's 1831-position model. The record is from RNAcentral.